This 146-nucleotide unclassified non-coding RNA is filed under the name uncultured Lophiostoma. Its description in RNAcentral is "sequence contains ITS1". Lineage: Eukaryota; Fungi; Ascomycota; Dothideomycetes; Pleosporales; Lophiostomataceae. The record is from RNAcentral.
UUGUGGGGACCUCGGUCCUUCCAAGAUGCAACCCUUGCCUUUUUCAAGCGUCUCUCUGUUUCCUCGGCAGCUGCGCCUGCCAGCGAGGACCCUUCAAAAACCUUUUGCAAUCCCUGUACAAACUUCUGAAAACACCAAAAAACGUU